Molecule: ribosomal RNA, 819 nt
Filed under: bacterium
Lineage: Bacteria
Description: bacterial SSU rRNA
Rfam family: Bacterial small subunit ribosomal RNA
Source: RNAcentral
ACGAACGCUGGCGGCGUGCUUAACACAUGCAAGUCGAACGGAAAGGCCCUUCGGGGUGCUCGAGUGGCGAACGGGUGAGUAACACGUGGGUGAUCUGCCCUGCACUUCGGGAUAAGCCUGGGAAACUGGGUCUAAUACCGGAUAGGACCGCAUGCUUCAUGGUGUGUGGUGGAAAGCUUUUGCGGUGUGGGAUGGGCCCGCGGCCUAUCAGCUUGUUGGUGGGGUAAUGGCCUACCAAGGCGACGACGGGUAGCCGGCCUGAGAGGGUGUCCGGCCACACUGGGACUGAGAUACGGCCCAGACUCCUACGGGAGGCAGCAGUGGGGAAUAUUGCACAAUGGGCGCAAGCCUGAUGCAGCGACGCCGCGUGGGGGAUGACGGCCUUCGGGUUGUAAACCUCUUUCAGCACAGACGAAGCGCGAGUGACGGUAUGUGCAGAAGAAGCACCGGCCAACUACGUGCCAGCAGCCGCGGUAAUACGUAGGGUGCGAGCGUUGUCCGGAAUUACUGGGCGUAAAGAGCUCGUAGGUGGUUUGUCGCGUUGUUCGUGAAAACUCACAGCUUAACUGUGGGCGUGCGGGCGAUACGGGCAGACUGGAGUACUGCAGGGGAGACUGGAAUUCCUGGUGUAGCGGUGGAAUGCGCAGAUAUCAGGAGGAACACCGGUGGCGAAGGCGGGUCUCUGGGCAGUAACUGACGCUGAGGAGCGAAAGCGUGGGGAGCGAACAGGAUUAGAUACCCUGGUAGUCCACGCCGUAAACGGUGGGUACUAGGUGUGGGUUUCCUUCCUUGGGAUCCGUGCCGUAGCUAACGCAUUAA